UACAGAGGUCCCAAGCGUUGUUCGGAUUCACUGGGCGUAAAGGGUGCGUAGGCGGCCGGGUAAGUUUGAUGUGAAAUCCCACAGCUUAACUGUGGAACUGCAUUGAAUACUAUCCGGCUUGAGGAAUGGAGGGGAGACUGGAAUUCUCGGUGUAGCAGUGAAAUGCGUAGAUAUCGAGAGGAACACCAGUGGCGAAGGCGAGUCUCUGGACAUUUCCUGACGCUGAGGCACGAAAGCCAGGGGAGCAAACGGG
This 253-nucleotide ribosomal RNA is filed under the name uncultured bacterium. RNAcentral describes it as "partial 16S ribosomal RNA". It matches the Rfam family "Bacterial small subunit ribosomal RNA", at positions 524 to 776 of the family's 1533-position model. The record is from RNAcentral.